RNAcentral lists this long non-coding RNA (289 nucleotides) under Mus spicilegus (steppe mouse). RNAcentral describes it as "lncRNA (ENSMSIG00000018822.1)". The record is from RNAcentral. Lineage: Eukaryota; Metazoa; Chordata; Mammalia; Rodentia; Muridae.
UAGGACAGUAGGUGAUGGAAGUUGUAUAGAGAUGGCGACUGAGAUAAUGAGAGUAGCUCAACAUAAAGAAGAUAUUAACCUGUGAAAACUCUACCAACAGUGAAAGGAAUAACUGAGAGGAUCACAUUUCCAGUCAUGAAGAGGAAAUGUCUUCGAGUUCUAGGUAGAGAAGAGACUACAAGAGAAUGAGAAAAUACAGCAACAAACCAGGAAUUUCUACUUAAAAUUCUGUCACACCCUAACCAAGAACAUAAAUGAACUCUUUGAUCUCUCUAAUCUUGGUUCUCAG